CAGACUUAGAAGCCAGAAGACAUUUUGCAUCUGGACGAAGGAUCACACAAGACCCCCUCUGGUCUGAUCAAGCUGUGAACAGGGGGUAUGCGUAAUCUGAAGCCCCUCCCACCCCAGGCCUCCGAGUGCCAGUAUGAACUCAGUUUCGACUGGAAGCUCUUGUGAAUGGACUUUGACCAGAAAAAUUACGGAAAACAUAUGAGGUCUUGAUGCUGCAUGGCCGAAUGGAGGAGGGAAAUCAAUGAUCUAAUCAUCCACAAGUGAGGAAAUGUGUGUGUAUAUAGGGUGGAGUUGUUGGAGAAGGAAAAGACAGAAGUAGAAGAAAGGAGCUGGUUACCUGAGAUAAGAGAGACGCCGUCGCUGUGUUUUUGGCCCGGGUCGAUCGCUAUGAGUUGCCGGGACGAUCGAUUGAGUGUUGCGUGCUGACGAGAGCGAGCAAGUUCACCAGGUGAAUUCCUGUUUUACAGCAUUUAAACCUCUUUCCUUAACAACUUUCCUCCCUGCCAUUAUUGCCCAGCGCUCAACUCGCAUACACACACACACACACACACACACACACACACACACACACACACACCAUUUUUGCCACACACAAACCUCCACAAACAUUCAGGCACCCACUUUCAUGAAGCACUUUGUGAUCGUGCUGUUUGGUGUGAUUCAAUGCACAAUAAUAAUUAUUUAAUAAUGUGUAAAGUGUGAUCAGAAUUCACUAUUUAAUGUUCUCUUUUUGUCUGUUCUAUUUUUGUCUUUCCAUCUCAUUACUACUCUCGCCGUAUUGGUGAGUGUUGAGUCUGCCGAGGUUUUCAAUCCUCCGAGAUACUUCUACCUUCGAGGCACCAACUUUCACUCACUUUAAGGUUGUUUUUUUUAUAUUGUUGGACAACAAAAACGGUGGAACGACUGUAAUUGAACUUUUUUUUUGAUUUUUCUUGUUUAUUGGUGAAAAUAUAUCUGUGAAAUUGAUUUUGUACUUGAGCCAAAGAGAUCGUUUCUAUGUUUUUUGUAUGAUUCCUUAUUGAUUGCUGAAUAUAACUGAGAAACUGAACUUUGUGUGUAAAUCUUAUUCAUGUUUUGUAACCGGUGGCUUAACGAGCUAUUCUGGGUGAAAACAGUAUUAUUUUGACAAGAUUGACCUUGUCUGGUGCCCGAACUAAGUAAAUCAGUUUGUUAAUUUGUUUAUUAAUUUAGAAUCUUUUUAAUGUGUUGGUUUAAAUUCUCUUUGGGGCCACCACUAUUACAUCGUGUUUUAGUAAUAUAACACAAAACUUUACUUUUUGUUAAAAAAUGGAAUGCUAAACUUUUAUUUUUGUUAAGCCAUUUGUUCAUUACCUUUAAAGUGACAAUGUUAGUGAUAUGUUGGACAACCUAAUGUUUAAAAACACAAUCUUUUUUUUUGUUAAAUAUAAAAAUGUAAGACUAUAUUUUAUUUUUGUUAAGCCAUUUGUUCAUAUUUAAAUUGGAUGUGUGUUUUGCUGCAUAACAAUAGUCUUUGUUUUAGAAACACAUUUUAUCUCAUAGUUAAAAUAUAACAAACUUUUUUUAUUAAAGCUAAUUCUAAUAUAGCAUAAAAUGUAUUAUUGUGUUUUAGCAACAUAACCCUGUUUGUUAAACUAAUGUCAAACAUUAUGUUUGUUAAACCAUUUAUUCAUCAUUUUAAAAUGAACAUCUGAAUGAUUUUGCUUCAGUAAAUAUCCACUGUUUUAGAAACACAUUUUCACCACUUUGUUAAAAGUAUGCCAAGCAUUAUUUUGACACCUCAGUUUUGUCACCAAAGCAUUGCAACCCAUUAAAGACACAUAAUUUAAACACAUUUUAAAUGUAAUACUACUUUUUAUGUCUUACAAUAAUAAAAAAAUAUCCCCACACUCAUAACUUCAUCAAUUAAUUGUUUAAUCAAUCACAAUUUUUUUUUUGUUUGAGUUGAGAGAAAACAAGUCCUAUACCAUGCAUUAU
Long non-coding RNA from Xyrauchen texanus (razorback sucker), 1956 nucleotides. RefSeq lists it as uncharacterized. The transcript is spliced from 3 exons. Lineage: Eukaryota; Metazoa; Chordata; Actinopteri; Cypriniformes; Catostomidae. The record is from RefSeq and is a predicted model, not a curated record.